This 393-nucleotide ribosomal RNA is filed under the name uncultured bacterium. RNAcentral's name for it is "bacterial SSU rRNA". It matches the Rfam family "Bacterial small subunit ribosomal RNA", at positions 29 to 425 of the family's 1533-position model. The record is from RNAcentral.
AUUGAACGCUGGCGGCAUGCCUUACACAUGCAAGUCGAACGGUAACGCGGGGCAACCUGGCGACGAGUGGCGAACGGGUGAGUAAAGUAUCGGAACGUGCCCAAUAGUGGGGGAUAGCCCGGCGAAAGCCGGAUUAAUACCGCAUGAGACCUGAGGGUGAAAGCGGGGGACUCGCAAGAGCCUCGCGCUGUUGGAGCGGCCGAUAUCAGAUUAGGUAGUUGGUGGGGUAAAGGCCUACCAAGCCGACGAUCUGUAGCUGGUCUGAGAGGACGACCAGCCACACUGGGACUGAGACACGGCCCAGACUCCUACGGGAGGCAGCAGUGGGGAAUUUUGGACAAUGGGCGCAAGCCUGAUCCAGCCAUGCCGCGUGAGUGAAGAAGGCCUCGGUUG